Molecule: unclassified non-coding RNA, 271 nt
Organism: Cercocebus atys (sooty mangabey)
Lineage: Eukaryota; Metazoa; Chordata; Mammalia; Primates; Cercopithecidae
Rfam family: Metazoan signal recognition particle RNA
About the family: The signal recognition particle (SRP) is a universally conserved ribonucleoprotein. It is involved in the co-translational targeting of proteins to membranes.
Source: Ensembl
GCUGGGCGUGGUGGUGGGCAUCUGUAAUCCCAGCUACUUGGGAGGCUGAGGCAGGAGAAUCACUUGAAACCAGGAGGUAGAGGUUGUAGUGAGCCAAGAUUGCCCCACUGCACUCCAGUCUGGGUGACAGAGCGAGACUCUGUCUCAAAAAAAAAGGAAAAAAAAAAGAAAGAGAUGAGGUCUCACUCUGCACCCAGACUGGAGUAUAACUGGCGCUAUUGUAGCUCACUGUAGCCUUGUACUCCUGGGCUCAAGUGAUCCUCCUGCCUCA